UUUUUUUGAAUCAAACAAGUUUAAUUCAUUUCCUUUUCACAUCACAUUUAUAUUUGUUUGGAUACAUCAUUACAUUCACUUUGUUACUUUUAAAGCAUUUUAUGGUCAUACAUUACUAUACAAUAAAACAAAAUUGGAAUCAUUAUUGGUGGUACAGAGAACCCAGCAACCCCUGAUGGACUGGGAACCGACAGAGAGCUUAUAGACUGGUUGCAACUACAAGGAGUGGAUGCAAAUACAAUAGAAAAGGUAAAUUUCUAAAUCAAAGUAUUCCUAUGAUAUUGUUGAAAAGCUGCUUAUCCAUACAUGAAUCUUUCAGAUUGUUGAAGAGGAUUAUACACUUUCUGAUAUUCUCAAUGAUAUCACUAAGGAAGACCUAAGGUGCCUCAGACUACGUGGUGGUGUCCUCUGUAGGCUUUGGCAUGCAGUCUCCCAGCACAGAAGACAAAUGCAGGAGUCAUCACAGUGAGCCAAGCUGGGGAGAAAGAGCAAAAGAUACCCUACACCUGGCUCACAAUUAAAGCUUCUGCUGUCAAUGUACACAGAAACCCCGAGUUUACACAGAAAGACCCUUGCUCAUUUAAUUCAAGCACGCGUGGUUUUAGAGUA
Mastomys coucha (southern multimammate mouse) is the source of this 609-nucleotide long non-coding RNA. RefSeq lists it as uncharacterized. The record is from RefSeq and is a predicted model, not a curated record. Lineage: Eukaryota; Metazoa; Chordata; Mammalia; Rodentia; Muridae. The transcript is spliced from 2 exons.